UACAAUCAGAGUCCACAUAUGUUCGGGGGAGGGACCCCAGAAGGCGGCUGACAGUAUUCCUUUAGCCAGAAAUCCCUUCAGGGAAGAGAAAGGUGCUCCCCUUUGCCUGCUUUUAUACUACAGACUGUUUCCAACUCCAGCUAGAAGUGACUAUUGCCGAUUAUGCUAAUCAGUGGCGACAAGCUCCCUUUGACUGCUCACUUCUCCAGUGAGGCUUCAAGCUUCUAGGCAUCAAGAUUAGUAAGGCUGUCUUCUGGGUGGGCCAGUUUGUUUCUCAGUGACACGAAAACAUUGCCUGGGUAUUUUCCAGAAAAUAUUUCAAGCAGAAUAUACUUAUUUUCCAGUUUUGAAAACAACUAGAUUGCCCAUCUCCAUUUCUCUCUAUCAUCUACUGUAUUAUUCUAUGGACAACUGCCACCCUAAUAAGCUCAAAGGAAACCAUGAGAGACUGUCUAACUAGACUUUUUGCUUGAUUUCCUGGACCCAAGAGCAGGAGUGAGGAGCUUUCUCCUGGUCAAGAAGGGAAGCCAGAAGUCAAGGCCACAGAAGACACAGGAAACAUCAUUUCCAAAGUGGGAGACAAAGCUGUUAACAGGAAAUUAUUUGUAAAGUCAAGAGCCAAGCAAAACAGAAAAAGGACAAGAAAUCUAUCACCUGUGGGUAUGAAUGGUUCUAGGGAAGUCUGUUGACAAUUGGAGGGUCUCAAAGGCGCUUUAUGGUACUUAUUUUAUGACCCUGAGUCUGGAGUCUGAUGAAUUAAAGAGGAAAUUCUGCUCUGGGCAACAUUUAAGAGAUAGUAUCUCCAGGCAGUAACUUUCGUAUUAACUCUCAUAAGAUUGAUGCCAUUCUGUCAUCUAAAGUGUGGACAAAAGUAGCAUUAAAGCAAAAUGAAA
Molecule: long non-coding RNA, 893 nt
Filed under: Homo sapiens (human)
Lineage: Eukaryota; Metazoa; Chordata; Mammalia; Primates; Hominidae
Description: MIR4307 host gene
Source: RNAcentral